This is a non-coding RNA of Acanthosepion pharaonis, 99 nucleotides long. The record is from the annotation of a GenBank genome assembly. Lineage: Eukaryota; Metazoa; Mollusca; Cephalopoda; Sepiida; Sepiidae.
ACGUUGAAACACCAAUUCCUGUAUGAUCCCUGGUUAAGCAACAUCGAGUCUGGUCAGUACUCAGAUGGGUGACUACUUGGGAAUACUAGGUGCUGUAAG